UUUCAGACCUGGUAAUUGAUGAUCUUUUCUGUGGUUUGGAUAGCAAGCAAAGGUUGCUUUUAGUAGGUCUUAAAUUGAAAUGGAGGCACGCCCUGCUUUAUCCAUUCCAAGGUCAGGUACAACGCAGCUGACUAACAUGGGGGUAUCUGGAGCAUUUACUUCAUCUUUGCCCGUGCUUCCAACCCCUUACGAGGAGUCGUAUCCCAAGUUGCCAGACUCCCAACAAGUGUCCAUUGAGAGAGAACUCAUGACAAGCCCUCUCACUCAUGCGAGCCACUUAACCUCCAACAGUGGAGUAAUGGGUCACAUAUUUUCCUCGUCCUCUGGAUUUUCAUCAGAUCUUCACUAUUCAUCUGUUUCACUUUCACAACAGAAGAUUCAGUCAAGAAACACUCCUUUUAUACCUCAGUCAUCAACGAAUGGGGUGUCUUUUUCAGUGCCGCAAUCUUCUUAUUCAACACUGCUUCAUUCUACAACAUCAAGUCAUUAUACCAAAGAAAACAGUGCUUCGUGGUGUACAGAUUCUGUUGAAGAUUUACUUGAUUUCUCUGUAAAUACUCCUGUUGAGAAUAGUCAAGUCGAAAGCAGUAGUUGUAGCGGUAUCGUGGCGUCUGACGAAUUUGGCAGGCGUAAUGAUUGGCAGGAUUGGGCUGACCAGCUAAUCACAGAUAACAAUGCUUUAAAUUCUAGUUGGGAUGAAUUUCUUGCAGACACCAAUGUAGCAGAAAUGGAACCAAAGAUGGCAUACCAGGUAGAAAAACCACCAAGCUUUCAAGCUCAACAUCCACAACUUCAUCAGCAGCAUUCUGCUCCGUCUGGAGAAAUUCAGACUGUUGCUACUCCUUCUUGUUCAACUAACAGUGCUACUGCCUCAGCUAAGCCACGCAUGCGUUGGACACCAGAACUUCACGAGGCCUUUGUGGAGGCUGUUAACCAACUUGGUGGCAGUGAAAGAGCAACUCCAAAGGGUGUCUUGAAGCUCAUGAAAGUUGAAAGCUUAACUAUCUAUCAUGUCAAAAGCCACUUGCAGAAGUAUAGGACAGCUAGAUAUAGACCAGAGUCAUCAGAAGGGUCCUCAGAAAAGAGAUUGACUCCCAUUGACGAAAUAUCAUCUCUUGACUUGAAAACGGGUAUUGAGAUCACUGAAGCUCUGCGAUUGCAAAUGGAAGUACAAAAGCGGCUGCAUGAACAGCUUGAGAUACAAAGAAACCUACAGCUGCGAAUAGAAGAACAAGGGAGGUACCUGCAAAUAAUGUUUGAAAAGCAAAAGUCAGGUAUGGACAAGCUAAAGGCUUCAUCGUCCACUUUGGGGAACCCCUCUGCCGUGUCUUCAGAUGCAAUUCAAGGUUCCCCUGAAAAAGGUGAACAGGAAGCGUCCAAAAUCGACGAUGGCAAAACUGAAAAUGAUUCAAGUGAUGCUAAAACUACGACAAGAGGAGGUUCUGAUGAGCUUGGCGAGCAGAAAGAGGCACCUCAAGGGAAAGUUCCAGAUAAUCACGAGCCAGAUGUUUGCGAGACUGGUUCGCAAUCCUCAAAGCGUCUGAAAACAAUAGAAUAAGCCAUAUCAUUCAUCAACUUGGCAUAUCAAACUGACAAUACAAAAUUAAUCUUGAGUAAGAUUUCAUUUAUUCGUGUGUAGAACAGGUGGGAUGGGAAAGCUCAGUUCAGCCAGGGACGUCGCGCAAUAGAGAUAGGCGAAAUUGCUUAAAGAGCUUAAGCGCCCCAUUGUGCUCUAGGUAGGUUGAUUGGGCAGUCGUUUACCUUGCAAUAAGUCUCGGACCGUGUUGGUCAGAUUACCUUCGGGGUGUCAGUGGCCCCGUAAAGUGGCCAUAUAUGUGGGGAUUUCAACCUCUUUCUCUAUAACCUUUUAAUAUAUUGUCAUGAUGAAUAGGAGCUCAAAGUGCCAUCUUACCUAAAAUAUGUGUGAUCAGCAACCAAACUUUAAGCUUAAAUUACACAGCUUAUGACAAGCAAAAUGGACAAAAUGACAAAGAUUGCAUGUCGUGUGCAAUUUUGGAUCGUGCCCAAGAUUUUAAUUAUUUCAACCGUCUCCUAGGUCCUCUUUAUACCUUAGGGCUCGUUUGGUUCAACGAUUCAAAUUGUUA
This is an RNA transcript of Morus notabilis, 2105 nucleotides long. It is a transcript of the gene named protein PHOSPHATE STARVATION RESPONSE 1, with no coding region annotated. The record is from RefSeq and is a predicted model, not a curated record. The transcript has 9 exons. Lineage: Eukaryota; Viridiplantae; Streptophyta; Magnoliopsida; Rosales; Moraceae.